RNAcentral lists this ribosomal RNA (623 nucleotides) under Bacillus sp. (in: firmicutes). Its description in RNAcentral is "bacterial SSU rRNA". It matches the Rfam family "Bacterial small subunit ribosomal RNA", at positions 73 to 683 of the family's 1533-position model. Lineage: Bacteria; Bacillati; Bacillota; Bacilli; Caryophanales; Bacillaceae. The record is from RNAcentral.
AGCUUGCUCUCAAGAAGUUAGCGGCGGACGGGUGAGUAACACGUGGGUAACCUGCCCAUAAGACUGGGAUAACUCCGGGAAACCGGGGCUAAUACCGGAUAAUAUUUUGAACUGCAUGGUUCGAAAUUGAAAGGCGGCUUCGGCUGUCACUUAUGGAUGGACCCGCGUCGCAUUAGCUAGUUGGUGAGGUAACGGCUCACCAAGGCAACGAUGCGUAGCCGACCUGAGAGGGUGAUCGGCCACACUGGGACUGAGACACGGCCCAGACUCCUACGGGAGGCAGCAGUAGGGAAUCUUCCGCAAUGGACGAAAGUCUGACGGAGCAACGCCGCGUGAGUGAUGAAGGCUUUCGGGUCGUAAAACUCUGUUGUUAGGGAAGAACAAGUGCUAGUUGAAUAAGCUGGCACCUUGACGGUACCUAACCAGAAAGCCACGGCUAACUACGUGCCAGCAGCCGCGGUAAUACGUAGGUGGCAAGCGUUAUCCGGAAUUAUUGGGCGUAAAGCGCGCGCAGGUGGUUUCUUAAGUCUGAUGUGAAAGCCCACGGCUCAACCGUGGAGGGUCAUUGGAAACUGGGAGACUUGAGUGCAGAAGAGGAAAGUGGAAUUCCAUGUGUAGCGGUG